RNAcentral lists this ribosomal RNA (468 nucleotides) under uncultured bacterium. RNAcentral's name for it is "partial 16S ribosomal RNA". It matches the Rfam family "Bacterial small subunit ribosomal RNA", at positions 28 to 507 of the family's 1533-position model. The record is from RNAcentral.
GACGAACGCUGGCGGCGUGCUUAACACAUGUAAGUCGAACGGAAAGGCCCUGCUUUUGUGGGGUGCUCGAGUGGCGAACGGGUGAGUAACACGUGAGUAACCUGCCCUUGACUUUGGGAUAACUUCAGGAAACUGGGGCUAAUACCGGAUAGGAGCUCCUGCUGCAUGGUGGGGGUUGGAAAGUUUCGGCGGUUGGGGAUGGACUCGCGGCUUAUCAGCUUGUUGGUGGGGUAGUGGCUUACCAAGGCUUUGACGGGUAGCCGGCCUGAGAGGGUGACCGGCCACAUUGGGACUGAGAUACGGCCCAGACUCCUACGGGAGGCAACAGUGGGGAAUAUUGCACAAUGGGCGGAAGCCUGAUGCAGCAACGCCGCGUGCGGGAUGACGGCCUUCGGGUUGUAAACCGCUUUCGCCUGUGACGAAGCGUGAGUGACGGUAAUGGGUAAAGAAGCACCGGCUAACUACGUG